AAGUGAUCCUCCUGCCUCAGCCUUCCAAAGUCCUGAGAUUACAGGCGUGACCCACUGCACCCAGCUCCUUGCCACCUUCUUGGUGCCAAUCAAAAUAGUCCUGAAUAAAGUCUGACUUACUGUUUUAACAAGAGUCAGAUUUUUUUCUUUAAUAAGCGCAGUAGAAGAGGUGAACUGAAGAGGAGGGGCUGCAGUCAUUGAUGAAGACAAGGUCCAAGGCAAAACCACAGACUAACAAGGUGGUACUGCUGUUCAUGGGAUCUGUAAAGAGUGAAGAAGGAGUCUCAGCUCUCAGUAGAGUUCAUAGGCUCUAGGAUUUCUGCUGGAAGUGAGAACACU
Molecule: long non-coding RNA, 339 nt
Filed under: Homo sapiens (human)
Lineage: Eukaryota; Metazoa; Chordata; Mammalia; Primates; Hominidae
Description: HSALNT0342330
Source: RNAcentral